AUCACUUCUCAGCCUUCUGGCUAAGAUCAAGUGUAGUAUGUUACACAUCGGCUAAGAGCAAUUCUUUUUCCUCCAUCUUCCAAAUCUGUGUAUGUUUUAAUUGGGGGAAGAAAGCAUUUUCAAAAGAGCAUAAUGUGUUUACAAAUAGGGAUCACUCUGUGUUCUACCCUUG
This is a small nuclear RNA of Heterocephalus glaber (naked mole-rat), 172 nucleotides long. Its record names the gene U2. It matches the Rfam family "U2 spliceosomal RNA". Rfam says of the family: U2 is a small nuclear RNA (snRNA) component of the spliceosome (involved in pre-mRNA splicing). Complementary binding between U2 snRNA (in an area lying towards the 5' end but 3' to hairpin I) and the branchpoint sequence (BPS) of the intron results the bulging out of an unpaired adenosine, on the BPS, which initiates a nucleophilic attack at the intronic 5' splice site, thus starting the first of two transesterification reactions that mediate splicing. The record is from Ensembl. Lineage: Eukaryota; Metazoa; Chordata; Mammalia; Rodentia; Bathyergidae.